This 346-nucleotide long non-coding RNA is filed under the name Struthio camelus australis. Its description in RNAcentral is "lncRNA (ENSSCUG00000000794.1)". Lineage: Eukaryota; Metazoa; Chordata; Aves; Struthioniformes; Struthionidae. The record is from RNAcentral.
AUACUGGCUUUUCAGGCACCGAUCUGUACUGGGUGGAUCUGCUUGCUCCCCUCUGAGGAUCCCUUCCUUUCCUCCCCAUUGGUGUUGUUGGAGGAUUAAAGUAGCAGCGGCCCCAUACACAAACGCAGCUGGUUCCGUUUGGUCAGCCUGAGCCUUGCUGUGAAACCACGACAAGAAUUCCAUUUAUUACAGGAGACUUCUGAUCCUGUAAGCAAAGCCUCCAAAAUGUUUACCCUUUUCCCAAGACUGCAUUCCAACCUGAAAUAUCAGGGUAUCUUCAUCUUCCCCCUGUGAUGGUAAGCACUGUUCUACCCCUUUUAAUAGGUUUGUGAUUUCUGAAAUGGCA